GAUGAAGAACGCAGCGAAAUGCGAUAAGUUGUGUGAAUUGCAGAAUUCAGUGAAUCAUCGAAUCUUUGAACGCACAUUGCGCCCCUUGGUAUUCCAUGGGGCAUGCCUGUUCGAGCGUCAUUUGUACCUUCAAGCUUUGCUUGGUGUUGGGUGUUUGUCUCGCCUUUGCGUGUAGACUCGCCUUAAAAUAAUUGGCAGCCGGCGUAUUGAUUUCGGAGCGCAGUACAUCUCGCGCUUUGCACUCAUAACGACAGCGUCCAAAAGUACAUUUUACACUCUUGACCUCGGAUCAGGUAGGGAUACCCGCUGAACUUAAGCAUAUCAAUAAGCGGAGGA
This 336-nucleotide unclassified non-coding RNA is filed under the name soil metagenome. RNAcentral describes it as "partial contains 5.8S ribosomal RNA, internal transcribed spacer 2, and large subunit ribosomal RNA". The stretch from base 1 to 120 matches the Rfam family "5.8S ribosomal RNA", at positions 35 to 154 of the family's 154-position model. The record is from RNAcentral.